CCCCCCCGCCGCCCGGCAGCAGCAGCGCCUCAGACCCGCCACCCAUCGCUGGAUGUUCCUCCACUUUACCCACCGUAUCAAACAACUUUUACCAGUAAAUAUCGGUUUAUUCCUGAAACCAGAAGCCCUAAACAUACCUUUGUUUAUAAGGUCAGUUGGCAUUUUGUCUCUCUCAUUCCCCACUCCCCCCCAGUACAACCCAGCAGGUGGUUGAAAGGUACCAAGUUCUCUUUCUAGUUUUCCUGCUCUGCAUCUCUGGGAACUGGAGCCCGCAGGACCUAGAGCCUUCUGUUGGUAAUGUAGAUCCGAGUUUACAAAUUAUUCUUUUACCAUUUUAAAUCCUGCUUUUAAGGACAGAGGUGUUCCCACCUGCCCGCCACGGGGACUGGUAGAAACCCCUAAAUUGCUCCUCCUCUCCGAAGCCUGUGGGUAGGUCUCUCACUAGCAUCUUCAGGCUUGGGGCUGAAAAAAUAAUUGAUCCCAAAAUAUACACUAAAAACUGCCAUUUCUGGUUUACUGUGAGCAGGACCGGGGGAGGGAAGGGAGGGAAAGGAGUUUGAAACUUACUUUUCUCCCCCUUUUUUCCUAGAAAGCAAAUGUGACAUGGGGAGGAGGGAGAGAAUGUGAACAUGGCCCUUCCUAAAGUCAUUGUAAACUCUUCCUCCAAGGCUGGGAAAAAGGGCAAGUGAAAGAUCUGAUCCUUAAAAGGACAUCACUGGGUGUCUGAGACCCCAAAAGCAGCUGGCGAUUUUUAAGGACUCAAAUUGCUUUUGAUUUAUCCCAAGACAAAUUGACUUGGGAAUGUUGACGCCUCCUUUUUCCCCACAAGUAUUUGCCACCCAAACACUGCACGUUUUGUUAAUAUCCCAGAAACAGAGAACCUGAUGAGGGAUAGAAAAUGAGUUUACUGCAUGGUCCAGGCCAAAUUUUUUCUCCCAAGCAAACAAAAUUAAAAAAUUUUUAAAAACCCUCAAACCAAAGCCCAUCCCUGACCCUCCCCAAAAAAAACCUCCUAAGAAAGCAAGUCCAAGAGGAUCUCAAAUGCCCAGUCUGGUUCUGUCCUCCAUGGUUGACAGGGGUGUUUUUGGCAUAGCUGCAGCCCAACCAUGUCCCUUUAAGGAGCACUGUGGCUCAUUUCCUCCUCACCAACCCCGAGCUGAGGUUCCUGAGAGCUGAUCAGAGCUCCUCAGCCUUAGGUGGAAUCCAGAAUGAGGGGAGGCCUUCCAGCUGUGCACUUUGAGCUGAAAACUACCUUUCCUCCCCUUUUGCAGCCUGGGUGGUUCUGAUUGCUGGCAGUUCUGUAAUACAACCUUAAUCUGAGCAGUUGAGGCUGGUCCUACCUUAUCUUCAGACGUCUUGCGGAGGACUCCUGUUACCAGUUUGGUACUCAAAAGCUACACCCCACCACCAGAAGUCACUUUUUGUUUUUUCCAAAGGCAGUGAUAGCUCACCCUCUCUAGCUCUAAUGGGAAACCUGAUAAUUGCAAUGCAACUUUCUAAUAAAUUGUUCAUAUAUUCAUAAUUCCGUUGCAAUCCCAAAUUGGAGAAGAGAUCUGUUAAAGGUAUAUAUUAGUCUAGAUUUUUCUUAUUGUAAAUACUGUAAUUUUAUAAUACUGUCAAUAUUUUAUUAACUUAGAAAUAUUUAACAGAGUUUAAUCUAUGGUAGUUGAUUCAUUUAUAGGUUUAUGUUGCAGCCAAUUACAUUCUAAUGUAAGAUUAACUUUCAGCAUGUAAACUUUGAGUGAAUAUAUCUUUGGAAAGAUUAAGAGAGAAAACUCUCACUCUUAAUCUGUAGUAUUUAUCCCCAAUUCCCAAUUGGGAAUUAUUUAACGAAAUAUUAGGAGGUUUUGAGAGCUCAUGAAUCUAAUAACUGCAGUUGGAUUUGAAAACUUGGAUUUUGAGAUGUACCUGGCUCUUUGACCCUGUGAAAAAGUUCAUUUCAGUACCUGACCUCUCUAGCACAGAAGUCUUUAUUUUGAGCAAAGGGACACUGUCAGUUCAAUUUUAGUUUCUUGCUUUUGGGGGGAAAAAGAAACCACAAAACGCAGCCGUGCGGCAUGCGUGUGAAUUCCUUUUGGCUCGCAAGGGGAGCAGCUCCUCUCCCGAGGCUUUGUGUCCCCGGCCAGAGCAGCUCCAUCCCGGCAGCGCCGCUGCUCCCGCCCCAGCCCGGCCCCAGCCGCAGCUUGGGGAGAUGGAAAAAGUGCACAAAUCUCAAACUUGACUUGAUUUUUGACCAAAGCGUUUGCUUUUUAAAAAUUGAAAUCUCUCUCUCUCUUUUCACCUGAUGGUGUCCCUUUAGCAUCAUAAAGAUGUUCAUGUUCUCUGAAAACCGUGAGAAGUGAUUUUCUUUUCAAGGCAGGGGAGAAUUGGUCUGUCAUUACAACUUGCAUAAAAAAUACCAAAAAUAUCUUGAGGGUUUUCACAGGCGUUGGUAUUUUUUGAGUGUAAAAGUUAAUCUUGAUUAGAGAUGUGCCAAUCUUUACUGCUUUCCUGUAGUGUUGUUACACUUAGGCAUUUCAGUUCACUUACAAAUAUAUACUGUAACAGUAUACUUUGUACAGAUUUAUUUAAAAUUUAUUUGAAAACUGAAAUAAAGUAGGCAGAAAAUAAAGAUAUUUAUUUUUCAUUUGACUAUGUAAGAAGGUAUCAUUCUUUUGGUUUUAGUGCACUGGUGUACCAAGCCUCAGAACCACUGCUUUCUCCAGCUCAUAGGAUGCUUUUCCAGACUGUGGAUACGUGUAUGUGUACUGCUGUGUUGAUAAGUAAAUGCCAACGAUGGAGUUCGUUGCUUUUAUACAUCCCAAAGAGAAGUUCUCCACCGUUCCCUGUCUGUUUUCUGACCGAAAAGGCGUGUGUUUGUGAACAGUGUUCACGCCAGCUCUGCCACCCCACCCUCACAUCAGCUCACACCAAUGCCAGGAUGGGAGGAGUUGCCUGCGUACCUUCCCCAAAACACCCCGGGCCGCAGUGGCAUCGUCAGGGAGCAGUUCAAACCUGUGUCCUUUGGGCUUUGUGUAAAGCAAAUGCAGAACAAGAAAAAUCGAGAUGUUAAAUCCAUUAGAAAACAAAUUCCUUAUUGUACAGUAGUAUGGAGAUCUCUAGUCAACCUGCCAUUAAUAAUAGAUUCUUAUUUUUUGAAUGAUCUAUUUAAAAGAACAGCAAGCAUUGUAUUUGCUAGUAAAUCUGAAGUGUUUACAUGGAAUUACUAAAUAAAUUAUUUGAUCUAAGA
Long non-coding RNA from Camarhynchus parvulus, 3229 nucleotides. RefSeq lists it as uncharacterized. The transcript is spliced from 2 exons. Lineage: Eukaryota; Metazoa; Chordata; Aves; Passeriformes; Thraupidae. The record is from RefSeq and is a predicted model, not a curated record.